This 235-nucleotide unclassified non-coding RNA is filed under the name plant metagenome. Its description in RNAcentral is "partial contains small subunit ribosomal RNA, internal transcribed spacer 1, and 5.8S ribosomal RNA". The record is from RNAcentral.
UCUCCGUUGGUGAACCAGCGGAGGGAUCAUUACCGAAGUUACCUUCAAAACCCACUGUGAACCCUACCUCUUGCCGCGUUGUCUCGGCGGGAGGCGGUGUGCGUCGCGCGCCCUAGCGGCCGCGCCGCUCCCGUCCCCGCCGGCAGCGCCAAACUCUAAAUGCACAGCGGACUGUACGUUCUGGUUUACAAAAAAAAACAAGUUAAAACUUUCAACAACGGAUCUCUUGGUUCUG